Molecule: unclassified non-coding RNA, 536 nt
Filed under: Hevea brasiliensis (rubber tree)
Lineage: Eukaryota; Viridiplantae; Streptophyta; Magnoliopsida; Malpighiales; Euphorbiaceae
Source: RNAcentral
GGAAAGAAGGCAAAUAAAUGUGAUAUUGGCGUAUGGUAUCUGUCCUACUGCUAUUAUGUUUAGCUUUCACCUAUUUUUGUGUGCUGCUAAUAUAUAAUUUCCAUGUUGGAACGAUGCUUGAUAAGAUAUGCUAUAUAAAUUGUAGAGUUGAUUUCUUUCCUUUUUUUAAUAUGGACAUUUGCUUUAUUCAAUGAUGUUUCUGUUCAUGUUACUAAAUUACAUUUUCUUUUUAUGCUGGUGAUCUCUUGAUGCUCUUACCUUGGUAAUUUGCUUCCAAGAUGAAAAUGAACAUGAUAUAACAGCUAAUCUUUGCAUAAGCGCAUGUACAUGUUUGAAAUUAGCUUAGCUGCAGUUAAUCAGAUUAAUAAACAAUGGUAGCAAAUCCAUACUAGUAAUGGAUUGCAUUCAAGAAUAAAUAUAUGUGCAACAUGUGCUGAAUUGUCCCUCAUUUAUGGUGAAUGUACCGUAGAUUCUUUGUCUAUUUGAUGAAUUUGUUAUUCUUGCAUGUCCAGGAGAGUUGCUUUGCGAAGGUGGAU